UACGUAGGGGGCGAGCGUUGUCCGGAGUUAUUGGGCGUAAAGGGCGCGCAGGCGGCCCGACGCGUCCCGUGUGAAAGCUCCCGGCUCACCUGGGAGAGGUCGCGGGAAACGGUCGGGCUUGAGCAAGGUAGGGGGCCAUGGAAUUCCCGGUGUAGUGGUGGAAUGCGUAGAGAUCGGGAGGAACACCAGUGGCGAAGGCGGUGGCCUGGACCUGUGCUGACGCUGAGGCGCGAAAGCGUGGGGAGCGAACGGG
This 253-nucleotide ribosomal RNA is filed under the name uncultured bacterium. Its description in RNAcentral is "partial 16S ribosomal RNA". It matches the Rfam family "Bacterial small subunit ribosomal RNA", at positions 524 to 776 of the family's 1533-position model. The record is from RNAcentral.